CGACAAGAGAGAGCCCAGAGCUUACGUUUGAGAACUAUACGUUCUUCAUCCAUUAGUUAUAGUCAAGAGUCUGGAGCAGCAGCUGAUGAUAUAAAGCCAUGUCCACGAUGUGCUGCUUAUAUAAUAAAGAUGAAUGAUGGGAGCUGCAAUCACAUGACAUGUGCUGUUUGUGGUUGUGAGUUUUGUUGGUUGUGUAUGAAAGAAAUCUCAGAUUUGCAUUAUCUAAGUCCAUCAGGAUGUACUUUUUGGGGGAAGAAACCCUGGAGCCGAAAGAAGAAAAUAUUGUGGCAACUGGGAACACUGGUUGGUGCUCCUGUCGGAAUCGCUUUAAUAGCUGGCAUUGCUAUUCCUGCAAUGAUUAUUGGCAUUCCUGUGUAUGUGGGCCGCAAGGUAAAAUGCAUACUUCUUGUUAGUCCAUUAUCUUAUUCUAAAUCUUUAGGUGUAUUCUUUUAGUAUUGAUGAUUUUUGGGUUUUUUUUUUUUUUUUUUUUUAGACAAAGGGUAUCUUUAGUUUCUUCAGUAUAAAACAGUUACUCUUUUUUCAUAAAUUUUUAGUGUUUGGCAAGCAUAUA
Molecule: long non-coding RNA, 571 nt
Filed under: Homo sapiens (human)
Lineage: Eukaryota; Metazoa; Chordata; Mammalia; Primates; Hominidae
Description: non-protein coding lnc-FBXO43-7:1
Source: RNAcentral